RNAcentral lists this unclassified non-coding RNA (300 nucleotides) under uncultured Nectriopsis. Its description in RNAcentral is "sequence contains 5.8S rRNA gene, ITS2". The stretch from base 1 to 83 matches the Rfam family "5.8S ribosomal RNA", at positions 70 to 154 of the family's 154-position model. Lineage: Eukaryota; Fungi; Ascomycota; Sordariomycetes; Hypocreales; Bionectriaceae. The record is from RNAcentral.
AAUAAGAGACAGGUGAGUCAUCGAAUCUUUGAACGCACAUUGCGCCCGCCAGUAUUCUGGCGGGCAUGCCUGUCUGAGCGUCAUUUCAACCCUCAAGCAACUUCUGCUUGGUGUUGGGGAUCGGCCGUUAAACGCCGCCCCCGAAAUCUAUUGGCGAUCUCGCUGUAGCUUCCUAUGCGUAGUAGUAACAUCUCGCAUCUGGAGAGCGGCGCGGUCAUGCCGUAAAACACCCAACUUCUCAGGUUGACCUCAGAUCAGGUAGGAAUACCCGCUGAACUUAAGCAUAUCAAUAAGCGGAGG